This is a small nucleolar RNA of Strongylocentrotus purpuratus (purple sea urchin), 179 nucleotides long. RefSeq annotates it as small nucleolar RNA snR42. The record is from RefSeq and is a predicted model, not a curated record. NCBI's taxonomy places the organism in Eukaryota, Metazoa, Echinodermata, Echinoidea, Camarodonta, Strongylocentrotidae. The transcript has a single exon.
GGGGGGGGGGGGGGGGGGUGUUUGGGGGUUCAAACCCCCCCUUUGGUAUUUUUAAUGUAUGUAAACCCCCCCUAAAAAAACCUAAAACCCCCCCCCCCCCCCUUUUUUUUUUUUUUUUUUUUUUUUUUUUUUUUUUUUAUUUAAAAAAAAAAAAAAAAAAAAAAAAAAAAAAAAAAAAU